Molecule: ribosomal RNA, 301 nt
Filed under: uncultured bacterium
Lineage: Bacteria
Description: partial 16S ribosomal RNA
Rfam family: Bacterial small subunit ribosomal RNA
Source: RNAcentral
CAGUAGCCGCGGUAAUACAGAGGGUGCAAGCGUUAAUCGGAAUUACUGGGCGUAAAGCGCGCGUAGGUGGCUCGCCAAGUUGGAUGUGAAAUCCCCGGGCUCAACCUGGGAACUGCAUCCAAAACUGGCGAGCUAGAGUAUGGUAGAGGGUGGUGGAAUUUCCUGUGUAGCGGUGAAAUGCGUAGAUAUAGGAAGGAGCAUCAGUGGCGAAGGCGACCACCUGGACUGAUACUGACACUGAGGUGCGAAAGCGUGGGGAGCAAACAGGAUUAGAUACCCGAGUAGUCCCUGUCUCUUAUAC